Long non-coding RNA from Seriola aureovittata, 323 nucleotides. RefSeq lists it as uncharacterized. NCBI's taxonomy places the organism in Eukaryota, Metazoa, Chordata, Actinopteri, Carangiformes, Carangidae. The transcript has 3 exons. The record is from RefSeq and is a predicted model, not a curated record.
CCUGAUGAAGGAUUUAAGUCACUGGACGUCUGGAUCUUAAGUUAUCAGAGAAAAAAAGCAGCUACAAACCUGGGAAAAACCUGUUGAACUUCUGGUUCAUAAUUUAAGAAUCAAAGUUUUUCUUUUUAGGGCAUUUUUCCUUUAUUCAGGUCACUACAGUGAGAGAGAGAGGAAAGUCAGGGACAGAGAGAGAGAGAGGAUGACAUGCGGGCCACGGGUCGGACUGGAGCCCUCAGAUGACAUUGUCGGGAAGAACAGGCAACAUUUCUCGACAGACUCGUGGGUUAAUGACAGACACAUCCACCACUCUCAGCUCAUUGACA